Molecule: ribosomal RNA, 218 nt
Filed under: uncultured bacterium
Lineage: Bacteria
Description: partial 16S ribosomal RNA
Rfam family: Bacterial small subunit ribosomal RNA
Source: RNAcentral
UCUACGUGUAGAAUGAUGCCUGUACCUUAUGAAUAAGCAUCGGCUAACUCCGUGCCAGCAGCCGCGGUAAUACGGAGGAUGCGAGCGUUAUCCCGGAUUUAUUGGGUUUAAAGGGUGCGUAGGGCGGUUUAUUAAGUUAGUGGUUAAAUAUUUGGAGCUAAACUCAAUUGUGCCCAUUAAUACUGGUAAACUGGAGUACAGACGAGGUAGGCGGAAUA